This 472-nucleotide ribosomal RNA is filed under the name uncultured bacterium. Its description in RNAcentral is "bacterial SSU rRNA". It matches the Rfam family "Bacterial small subunit ribosomal RNA", at positions 335 to 803 of the family's 1533-position model. The record is from RNAcentral.
ACUCCUACGGGAGGCAGCAGUGGGGAAUAUUGCACAAUGGGGGAAACCCUGAUGCAGCCAUGCCGCGUGUGUGAAGAAGGCCCUCGGGUUGUAAAGCACUUUCAGUAGGGAGGAAGGUAGUGUAGUUAACACCUGCAUUAUUUGACGUUACCUACAGAAGAAGCACCGGCUAACUCCGUGCCAGCAGCCGCGGUAAUACGGAGGGUGCGAGCGUUAAUCGGAAUUACUGGGCGUAAAGCGCAUGCAGGCGGCCUGUUAAGUCAGAUGUGAAAGCCCGGGGCUUAACCUCGGAAUUGCAUUUGAAACUGGCAGGCUAGAGUCUUGUAGAGGGGUUAGAAUUUCAGGUGUAGCGGUGAAAUGCGUAGAGAUCUGAAGGAAUACCAGUGGCGAAGGCGGCCCCCUGGACAAAGACUGACGCUCAGAUGCGAAAGCGUGGGAGCAAACAGGAUUAGAUACCCCUGGUAGCGACUGA